Molecule: ribosomal RNA, 483 nt
Filed under: uncultured bacterium
Lineage: Bacteria
Description: partial 16S ribosomal RNA
Rfam family: Bacterial small subunit ribosomal RNA
Source: RNAcentral
UUGAACGCUGGCGGCAGGCCUAACACAUGCCAGUCGAGCGGAUGAAGGGAGCUUGCUCCUGGAUUCAGCGGCGGACGGGUGAGUAAUGCCUAGGAAUCUGCCUGGUAGUGGGGGAUAACGUCCGGAAACGGGCGCUAAUACCGCAUACGUCCUGAGGGAGAAAGUGGGGGAUCUUCGGACCUCACGCUAUCAGAUGAGCCUAGGUCGGAUUAGCUAGUUGGUGGGGUAAAGGCCUACCAAGGCGACGAUCCGUAACUGGUCUGAGAGGAUGAUCAGUCACACUGGAACUGAGACACGGUCCAGACUCCUACGGGAGGCAGCAGUGGGGAAUAUUGGACAAUGGGCGAAAGCCUGAUCCAGCCAUGCCGCGUGUGUGAAGAAGGUCCUCGGAUUGUAAAGCACUUUAAGUUGGGAGGAAGGGCAGUAAGUUAAUACCUUGCUGUUUUGACGUUACCAACAGAAUAAGCACCGGCUAACUUCGUG